This is a non-coding RNA of Phascolarctos cinereus (koala), 4130 nucleotides long. NCBI's taxonomy places the organism in Eukaryota, Metazoa, Chordata, Mammalia, Diprotodontia, Phascolarctidae. The record is from RefSeq and is a predicted model, not a curated record.
CCAUAGCAUGGUGGGGGCUUCAGGAGCCAGUGGGGCUGAGGUAAGGUGAUUGAGGAUGGGGGACAUGUAGUCUGUUUGUAGGCAGCAGGCAAUGAGCCAGGAGAAGUUGAGAAUGAGGAGUGGGGGGUGGUUGAUAGACCUGUGGGAGGAGACCAAUGGGGAUGGGCGCCAGGGCAGCCGAGGAAGGCCCACCUCGUCCUCUGUGUGUGAAGUGAAGGUUGGCGGAUGAUCCGGAGGACACCCAAAGAGGGGACAGAGCUUGGGAGGGGUGCCUGGGUGGCCUUGGGCUUUCCAGGGAAGUGUGAGGAGAAGGGGAGGCAGGGCAACAAUAAGGGACCGGAGAGGGGAAGAAGCUGUGGAACAGACACUCUGGGGGGCACAUGUGAGCAGGGCAGAACCUGAGGACUAGCAGGGGGUGGCUCAUGCCAGCAGCCGGCAUGAUGUGCCACAGAGUGGUGAAGAAGAAGGGGAAAGGGAACUGGAGGACGAAAAGUCGGGCUAGAUGAGUGUGAGACUGAUGCUCAUAUGACUAGUUUAUUUUCAGGUGUUACAAGAUUACAUACUAUAGAAAACAGCUUUGUACCGUGAGAAAUAAUCUACAAGCUCUAAUUAAUAACACAAUCUAAGCAGCUAAAGAUCCUCAUUUUCUCAUGAGAAAGUAGUUUCAAUGCCAAAUUUCGUAUCUGUUGUUUCCCUGCCCAGUUCUUAGUAUUGUCUACCUGAGUCAGCCAGCUGGCCUCAAGGCUGGGCAUCAGUGAGAACUUAAAAUCAACAAACCAUAACAAAUGGAGCUAGGGCAAGAGUCAUGGGAGCAAGCCUCUAUUCGUACUGACCCCUAAAGUCUAUAAGGACUUAGAGAUUUUCCAUAAGGACUCGGGCUCCCACAUCUCCCCCCUUUUUAUUUGUUAAUUUAAGUUCGUGCAAUUGACUCAUUAUUGGUUUGAUGGUAGGAUUUAUGAAUCUUAAAAAUAAUGGGAAACAAAAACAAAUUAGGCCAAUACCAAAAGGAAGCGUAUGCAAAAGCAAGGAUAUGCUCGAAAAGCGUGAAAGCUGGUGUUAUGUAGACAAAAUAGCAUGUGCUAAUUUAUUUGGGUCAAUCCCAGAAUGGGGGCUAUUUUCAAUGUUGGAAGUGAUAUCAUGAAGGGUAUUAAUAUUGAGGGUAAUAUUAGAAUCGUGCCAGACUCCCAAUAAGCGAGCACGUAUCUUAACCCAUGAGAUAUUGGGAUCUGAAGCAUUAUAGGGUAGUGGAGUAACACAAAUAUAUGAGUAUCUGUAAUCACAUCGCAAAAGCAACCUUGUUUUCAAGGUUUCUAACUCAUCUCCUAAAUACAAUACUGAUCGCUCUAAUAAAUUGACUUUAUACAAUACAUCUCUAUCAAUAGCUUCUUGUGCUUUAAGUACUAAACAUAUUUUUUGCUAAGUCACUUACAAAUUAUGCAGUUUAAAUUUCAGAUUGUAGUGCAAUAGAUGAAACAGUAGUAGAUAAAAUAAGAGAAGCAACAAUGAUUAAACCAGUUAUAAGGAGACCAAUAAAUUGUUUUGAUUGAUUUAAGGAGGAAGUAAUAAUCUGAGGAGCAUGUUGACCAGAGUUCUGGAACUAUUCAUGUGAGAUGUUAGUCGGAAAAAUGGCAAAUGAUGAUUGUUCUACCAAAAGUACAGUAUAGUCAUUAUUAUCAAUACAUUGUUUGAGAGUGCAAUCGACACAAGUAGCAUUCUAUUCAAAAGUAGUAUUAGAUUGAGUAAAAUUUACACAUUCAUUAGACAAACUGGUAUUAAAAAAUGAUGUAACAAGAAAAAGACAGGGUUCAGUAUUGUUGCUAACUUUUGUAAAACAUACAGGUGUCCUAAAUGCUAGAGAGCUGAGGGUAAUUGUAACAUUGGCACUGUCCUGGAGGAAGGGGUAUUCUUGGCCUCUGAAUAUAUAAGUAUUAUUAGUAUAUAUAGUUCCCAAUUUGUCCAUGUAUGUGAGGGGUCACAACCAGGGCAAAAAAGGAAAAUAAGUCCAGCGCUGAGCACUCUGUACAUUACACACUUGAGCAGAAAGUAAAGCUACUAUUGCUAAAAAUACAAGGUCAGGAGUCUUCCAUGGCUGGAUGAGAGGGAGCUUUCACUUGACCCCAUGUGGGAAGGCGACUCAUCACUGUAGAUCUGCUCUUUCUGUGCUUUCCCAGAAUCCUCAUACUCUGCAUUGAAGCUGUGAGUGUGAUACACGCUCGGAUAUUUUCCUUUGGUAUCCAGACAGGUUUAUCAAAGUUUUCUGAAAAAAUACAAGCAUACCCUCGUCCCCACAUUAAUAAUGGAUUCAGGCCUCUGGGUGUUUAUUUUUCUCAAGGUGUUUUUCGGCUGGAGUGUAGCUAUCUUUGUUAAUAUUUAAAAAAUUAAUAGCCAAUUGUCGAUGAGGGGUAAUAGCCCAGAUACCCCCUUUUUUGUUAAAGAAGAAUAGUUUUAAUAUCUUUGUUUUUAAUUAUAUAGAAUGCUUGUGAUCAGAGAAAUGUUAUAAAAAGCAUAAAAAGAAGAAAAUGCUUUGCUAUCGUAAGCAGGAGCAUUAUCUGUUUGAAUUUGUUUAGGUACACCCAUAACUGAGAAGGCUUGUAGAAUAUGAUUGAUUACAUGUUUAAUUAUUCCACUUGUUUGUAAAGUGGAAAAAAUGAAAGAAGAAAAAAUAUCAAUUAUAACAUGAAUAUAAGAAAGCUUUUCAGAAGAAGGCAUAUGAGUUACAUCUAUUUCUCAAAUAUGUUUGGGAGAAAAGCCUCUGGGAUUAAUGGCAAAAGAAGGAGGGUUAAUAAAAGUGAUACAUUUGAAACAGCCUUUAAAAAAAUAAUCAUUUUUAUACUAUGUUUCUAAUACUGCAGGAGUUUAUUUAUUCAAAAAUAGUCACAAAAUGUUAUCCUGUCUACAAUUAAGGUUGUUAUAUUGGCAGAAUGUAGUUAAUAAAAGGCCUAAUAAAAGCUUAAUAAAAAGUUAAGUGGCAGCAUUUUGGCGAAACUAGAAAUGAGAAUUAAUAGCUUGUUGUAUGGUAGGAGUUAAAAGUGUUAGAUAGAAUUGUAGUUGAGAAUCAAUAAUGGUAUUACUUUCAGUAAGAGGUCCCGACAAAUUAAAAUGUGCUCAUAUGUGGGUAAUAUAGAUAAGGUAAUAACGUGAACGAAGUAAGAUUUGAAGUUGUUGAAAAAGAGUAUAUAAUUGUGUAUUAGUAAUAUAUUUUAACUUUGCAGUCUCUAUAUUUUGAGAGACACAGACAGAGUAUUUGCUAUCAGAAGCAACAUUAAUAGGCUCAGUAAAAUCCUGAAGUAAUAAUAUAAGAGCUGCUAAUUUAGCCUUUUGUGCAGAAGAGUAAAGUGUGUGAAUAUAAUUUCUUUGAGUUGGUGAGAUAUAAUAUCCUGCCAUACCUGUGCUUGACCCAUCAGUGAACGCAGUGGGUGCUGAAGGAAUGGGAUUAGAUCUAAAAAUCUUUGGAAAUACCCAUGAAUAAUUCGUAAAAAAGGUUAAUAUCUUGAGAGAUGGUAAGUGAUUAUCAAUACGGCCAGAAAAAAUUGUAAUAGCAAUUUGCCAGUCCUCUGAAGAGGAAACAAGAGUGUCUAUUUGUUUUUUAUUAUAAGGUUGAUGAAUAACAGAAAGUAAAUUUCCUUUUAUGAAAUUUUACCUACCAUUGUAGGAUAAGGAAUUACAGAAUUGGGGAAUUGAUGAGGGAGGUGAAUCCAUUCUAAGGCUCCAGAAGAUUGAAAUAAAACUCCUGUAGAGGACACUGGAGUACUAAGAAUAGCACCUUGUACCUCUUCAUUUAAUGAAAUAUGGGGUCUAAAACUUUCCCAUGCAAGGAUCUCGAGUCCCUGUACAGGUGCCAACUGCCAGAAGCCGGCGUGGUGUUCAACAGAGUGGUGAAGAAAAAGGGGAAAGGGAACUGGAGAAAGAAAAGUCGGGCUAGGGUCAGAGGACAGGCUUGACAGUCCUUGAGGGCAUGGGCUGCCCUGUGGACCAGGGCCUGGCUGAGAGGCUGCCCCGAGGGGCCCUGGUCUUCAGAGAGGAGCUGGACACCAUCAAGUUCCUGUGCAGGGACUACUGUGCUGUAAGAAAUGAUAAGCAGACUUCAGAAAAACCUGGAAACACUUGUAUGGUCUGAUGCAGAGUGAAGU